Molecule: long non-coding RNA, 662 nt
Organism: Apis dorsata (giant honeybee)
Lineage: Eukaryota; Metazoa; Arthropoda; Insecta; Hymenoptera; Apidae
Exons: 2
Source: RefSeq, a predicted model, not a curated record
UUACGACAAACUAUUAAACUUCUAAAAUACAUACAAUUUCCUAAUAUGAAAUAUGAAAUUUACGAUUGAAAUAUUCAAAUAUUACACUUAAAUAUUUAUAGUAUUUCUAUAAAUAUAAACGAGAAAUAUACAACAGUAUUACUUUGUGUAAGGAUACAAAAGAAAUUGAAAUCAUUAAUGAACGUGGCAAUAAUCGAUAAUAUUUUAACGAAUUGAACGAAACUAUGGCGAAAAUACACGCGAGAUAUCGUAAUUUUCCAUAUUCGGUAGCAAUUUAAAUGAUGUCUCGUUGAUAUUGAUAUUCCAUUGAUACUUUUAUCGUCUGUUACGUCUGAGAAUUCUUGUGGGAGGAUCCAUGCAAAGAUAUACAUUAUGGAUUCCAAAAUUGGCUUUGACAUAUAGACCAUAAAACACAGAGUUUACAAGCUUGAAAAUAGCCCGGGUUCCCGAGGUUAUUUGAAUACUUAAAAACCAAUCAAUUCUCUUUCUUUCUCUCUUUCUAAAUUUACAAGCCCAUAACUAAUAAAUUUCUUAACACUUACGAAUAGAGAUACAUAGUUCCUACAUUUUCUCCUGUAUGAAGAGCAUCUAACUAUGUGAUAAUACCUGUUACGUUUCGCACAAAUCAUGCAACAGAUGAUUUAUGAGCAACAAAUCCAUGA